Molecule: ribosomal RNA, 553 nt
Filed under: uncultured archaeon
Lineage: Archaea
Description: bacterial SSU rRNA
Rfam family: Archaeal small subunit ribosomal RNA
Source: RNAcentral
ACGGGGUGCAGCAGGCGAGAAAACUUUGCAAUGUGCGAAAGCACGACAAGGUUAAUCCGAGUGAUUCCUGCUAAAGGAAUCUUUUGUUAGUCAUAAAACCACUAUUGAAUAAGGGGUGGGCAAGUUCUGGUGUCAGCCGCCGCGGUAAAACCAGCACCUCAAGUGGUCAGGAUGAUUAUUGGGCCUAAAGCAUCCGUAGCCGGCUCUGUUAGUUUUCGGUUAAAUCCAUAUGCUCAACAUAUGGGCCGCCGGGAAUACUACAAAGCUAGGGAGUGGGAGGGGUAGACGGUACUCCGUAGGAAGGGGUAAAAUCCUUUGAUCUCUCGAUGACCACCUGUGGCGAAGGCGGUCUACCAGAACACGUCCGACGGUGAGGGAUGAAAGCUGGGGGAGCAAACCGGAUUAGAUAUCCGGGUAGUCCCAGCUGUAAACUAUGCAAACUCAGUGAUGCAUUGGCUUGAUGCCAAUGCAGUGUUGCAGGGAAGCCGUUAAGUUUGCCGCCUGGGAAGUACGUACGCAAGUAUGAAACUUAAAGGAAUUGGCGGGGGAGCAC